Molecule: ribosomal RNA, 497 nt
Filed under: uncultured bacterium
Lineage: Bacteria
Description: partial 16S ribosomal RNA
Rfam family: Bacterial small subunit ribosomal RNA
Source: RNAcentral
GAUGAACGCUGGCGGCGUGCCUAAUACAUGCAAGUCGAGCGAACAGACGAUGAUCUUGCGCCGCGCACGUUAGCGGCAGGCGGGUGAGUAACACGUGUAUAACCUACCUGUAAUACUGGUAUAACUUCGGGAAACCGGAUCAAAUACCAUAUAAUAUCUUGAACCGCAGUGUGCGAUGGUGAAAGUCGGUGUUUCCGGCACUUAUAGAUGGAUCCGCGCCGCAUGAGAUGGUUGUUAAGGUAACGGCUUACCAAGGGAACGAUGCGUAGACGAGCUGAUAGGGUGAUAGGCCACACUGGAACUGAGACACGGUCAAGACUACUAAGGGACGCAGCAGUAGGCAAUGUUACGCAAUGGGCGAAAGCAUGACGGAGUAACGCCGCGUGAGUGAUGACGGUCUUCGGAUCGUAAAAAUCUGUUAUUAGGGAAGAACAACUGUGUAAGUAAACAUGGCCGUAUUGACGGUAACUAAUCAGAAAGCACCGGCUAACUACGUG